RNAcentral lists this ribosomal RNA (253 nucleotides) under uncultured bacterium. Its description in RNAcentral is "partial 16S ribosomal RNA". It matches the Rfam family "Bacterial small subunit ribosomal RNA", at positions 524 to 776 of the family's 1533-position model. The record is from RNAcentral.
UACGAAGGGGGCUAGCGUUGUUCGGAAUCACUGGGCGUAAAGCGCGCGCAGGCGGCUUCUCAAGUCAGGGGUGAAAGCCCAGAGCUCAACUCUGGAACUGCCUUUGAGACUGAGAGGCUUGAGUACGGGAGAGGUGAGUGGAAUUCCCAGUGUAGAGGUGAAAUUCGUAGAUAUUGGGAAGAACACCGGUGGCGAAGGCGGCUCGCUGGCUCGUAACUGACGCUCAUGCACGACAGCGUGGGGAUCAAACAGG